AAACAAAACCUCAGCCGCCUAAGGAGAAGGCCGAGGGCCAGACACCCAAGGAGGGAAGGAGAAAAGAUCGCACAGCUUGGUCUUCAUCCGGAUCUACGCAUUCUCCUCACGAUCAACGAAGAUGGAAGGGUCGAAGCCCCAGUUUCUCUCAAGCCUUCUAUUUCUAGGGGUAUUCGGGACAUCAGAGAAGGUGAGAGCUUUGUCCUUGACCAUCUUGAUAAUGUGAUUUUUCAUUGCAACAAGAACCACCGCUUCGUCGCGGAAUAUGAUAGCAUUCCUCUUCUUCCAAAUUAAGUAGCACAUGGCAGCAAAAGAGUAACGAGCUAAG
This 328-nucleotide long non-coding RNA is filed under the name Eucalyptus grandis. RNAcentral's name for it is "long non-coding RNA (EGRA_LNC005856)". The record is from RNAcentral. Lineage: Eukaryota; Viridiplantae; Streptophyta; Magnoliopsida; Myrtales; Myrtaceae.